GAGAAUCGCAAUUUACCAAGGACUUACGAACCGCGGUAUAAUUGUAUUAAUGUAUAUACCAUGUACGGGAAUAUGUCGGACACCUUCUAGGAUUUGCAUAUUUGGAAAAGUCAGAUAUGUCUAUCCAAGAGUAUAUGAUACAUACAGUUUUCAUGUAUAAAAAAACAAACACACCUUCCUAUCAAAUCAUUUAAUAUAUACAAACAAAAAAGGCCAAGUUACAAAUAACAGAAUAAUAAG
RNAcentral lists this long non-coding RNA (240 nucleotides) under Mytilus galloprovincialis (Mediterranean mussel). Lineage: Eukaryota; Metazoa; Mollusca; Bivalvia; Mytilida; Mytilidae. The record is from RNAcentral.